AAGUGACUGUGAAUUUAAGUUAAACCCUCUGACAACAAAUUGGAGGCACACAAGCCUAAAAGAUGAACGAUACGGUGUUUAUACUUCUCCCUAGGAAGAGCCAUAGGCCUUGGGCCCCAUCAAGGACUCUUCAGUGUUUGAAUUUUAAGAUUUGCCUCCAGUAUGAAACGAGAGGACUUUGCCUUCACUACUCAGCUUGAAGAAAGAGGAAGAGAUUUAUUUGGGGUGGAGAAUGUGAAGCCAUCCCAGUGACUGCCUCUUCCACAAAUUGUCUUUCUGUUCCAAGGCAAUGACCUCAGUGUUGUCAACUAGGAGGCACCUGAGCUAGUAAGGAGAAGCCAAGCAAGAGAGAGAUUUGCCUCAUCCCCACUGGUUAAAUAGUUUGCUCAUAAAAAAUUUCGGAAAUAUAUUUAUUAAGGAUAACUAUGUGCAACAGUUUCUAAAAUGUCAUUUGGGAUGUUGCAUGAGUGAUCAAUGUUAGGGUGGCAUGAAAAUCCUGAACUGUAGCUAGCAGGCUUUAGCAGCUGAAGGCAUUUUGUUUAAUACUGUAAAUACAGU
RNAcentral lists this long non-coding RNA (558 nucleotides) under Homo sapiens (human). RNAcentral describes it as "HSALNT0047650". Lineage: Eukaryota; Metazoa; Chordata; Mammalia; Primates; Hominidae. The record is from RNAcentral.